Long non-coding RNA from Capsicum annuum, 735 nucleotides. RefSeq lists it as uncharacterized. Lineage: Eukaryota; Viridiplantae; Streptophyta; Magnoliopsida; Solanales; Solanaceae. The record is from RefSeq and is a predicted model, not a curated record. The transcript is spliced from 2 exons.
AUUUUUGUGUUGAAUCUUUAAAUACAGAAUCAGGUUAGUCUCUGCAUCGAGGGUCUAUCGAAACCAACCUCUGAAAUAGAGGUAAGCUUACCGUACAUUAUACCAUCCGUUAAAAUCACUUUGUGGGAUUAUAUGAGGUAUGUUGUUAUAUACAGAAGUCAAAAAUUAGUAUUCAUUUGUUAAACUAUUACAUAACAUUGUUGUGUUGUCUCCAGGUGCCAUCCAAUAGAGUGAAAUAAGGACUAGAAAGUUAGAAGGCUUCUUAAUGAAAGCAUGAAUGCAAAUGUGAUGACGGGUGGCCCUAAAUCACUUGGUAUGACCUCACUACAUCUUUCUGCUAAGGGAGGCCAUGUGUGAGUUAUGGAUGAGUUUCUUGAGAGAGGUGUUGAUUCUCUCACUUCGUACUGAAACAGUUUUGUCGGUUGCCAACUGUUGUUCCUUAUCAGUUUUGCCUACACAAAUCCAUCUUAUGCUUUGCUUUACAACCUACAAUACCAAUUUUUACGUUUAUACAUACUGUAUUAAUGGGGUCAGUAAACAUUCAAUCCCUUCAUCUCUCGAUUUGCAUCUGUCACCAUCACAAAUACUUCAUUUUUUAGAGCUAUUGCAAAUAAUUUGAGAAUAUAUAUCCUCCAAAUUGGACCUUCCAAGGGAAUAAAUUGUAACAAAACUAUUAGUUUGUCGUAGAAACAAUUGUGGAAGUUUUGUAGUUUUAUCUAGCUCGUUGUUCAUGAA